UACGUAGGGCGCAAGCGUUGUCCGGAAUUAUUGGGCGUAAAGAGCUCGUAGGCGGCCUGUUGCGUCCGCUGUGAAAUCCCGGGGCUCAACCCCGGGCCUGCAGUGGAUACGGGCUGGCUAGAGGCAGGCAGGGGAGAACGGAAUUCCUGGUGUAGCGGUGAAGUGCGCAGAUAUCAGGAGGAACACCGGUGGCGAAGGCGGGUCUCUGGGCCGAUAUUGACGCUGAGGAGCGAAAGCGUGGGGAGCAAACAGG
Molecule: ribosomal RNA, 253 nt
Filed under: uncultured bacterium
Lineage: Bacteria
Description: partial 16S ribosomal RNA
Rfam family: Bacterial small subunit ribosomal RNA
Source: RNAcentral